This 307-nucleotide unclassified non-coding RNA is filed under the name Aliivibrio wodanis. Its description in RNAcentral is "putative sRNA". The record is from RNAcentral. Lineage: Bacteria; Pseudomonadati; Pseudomonadota; Gammaproteobacteria; Vibrionales; Vibrionaceae.
GGAGCUUUGGAGGUCACUUUUAGGCACGCAUUGGUUACCAUACCAUUAGGAAUGCCAACGAUAGUAUGUUGGCAUGAUUUCUUGAUAGUUUAUUGCAACGACUUGUAUUGAAAAAUAGUGAUAGACCGUAUUCCAGUAACCAAAUUCAACGGAUAAAUCUCGCAAGGGGCCCUAUCAAAGAGCAUUCUAUGCUCAGACUUAUUAUAAGCUUUCUCUGUAUUCUUUAUAAGUUUAAAUAAUAUUCACCACCGCUUUCAGAGAAGUGAUUAUAACGCUUCAUUAUGCAGCUAAAAAUUGAACAUGAAAG